Molecule: ribosomal RNA, 497 nt
Filed under: uncultured bacterium
Lineage: Bacteria
Description: partial 16S ribosomal RNA
Rfam family: Bacterial small subunit ribosomal RNA
Source: RNAcentral
GAUGAACGCUGGCGGCGUGCCUAAUACAUGCAAGUCGAGCGAACAGACGAGGAGCUUGCUCCUCUGACGUUAGCGGCGGACGGGUGAGUAACACGUGGAUAACCUACCUAUAAGACUGGGAUAACUUCGGGAAACCGGAGCUAAUACCGGAUAAUAUAUUGAACCGCAUGGUUCAAUAGUGAAAGACGGUUUUGCUGUCACUUAUAGAUGGAUCCGCGCCGCAUUAGCUAGUUGGUAAGGUAACGGCUUACCAAGGCAACGAUGCGUAGCCGACCGGAGGGGGUGAUCGGCCACACUGGAACUGAGACACGGUCCAGACUCCUACGGGAGGCAGCAGUAGGGAAUCUUCCGCAAAGGGCGAAAGCCUGACGGAGCAACGCCGCGUGAGUGAUGAAGGUCUUCGGAUCGUAAAACUCUGUUAUUAGGGAAGAACAAAUGUGUAAGUAACUAUGCACGUCUUGACGGUACCUAAUCAGAAAGCCACGGCUAACUACGUG